UCGUCGCUAGAACGAACGACUGGCGGCGUGCUUAACACAUAGCAAGUCGAACGCGAAAGGGACUUCGGUCCUGAGUAAAGUGGCGCACGGGUGAGUAACGCGUAGAUAACCUGUCUUCAUGUCUGGAAUAAUACGCCAAAGGGGUACUAAUACCGGAUAUUCUUGCUUUUCAUAAGUUAUGCAAGCAAGGGUGGCCUCUGCAUAUGCUACUGCAUGAAGAGGGGUCUGCGUACCAUUAGCUAGUAGGUGGGGUAAUGGCCUACCUAGGCGACGAUGGUUAGCGGGUCUGAGAGGAUGAUCCGCCACACUGGCACUGGAACACGGGCCAGACUCCUACGGGAGGCAGCAGUGAGGAAUAUUGCGCAAUGGGGGAAACCCUGACGCAGCGACGCCGCGUGAGUGAGGAAGGCCUUCGGGUCGUAAAGCUCUGUCAAGAGGAAAGAAGUGUACAAUGGCUAAUACCUGUUGUAUUUGACGGUACCUCUAAAGGAAGCACCGGCUAACUCCGUGCCAGCCGCCGC
This 521-nucleotide ribosomal RNA is filed under the name uncultured bacterium. Its description in RNAcentral is "bacterial SSU rRNA". It matches the Rfam family "Bacterial small subunit ribosomal RNA", at positions 26 to 518 of the family's 1533-position model. The record is from RNAcentral.